GAUGAACGCUGGCGGUGUGCCUAAUACAUGUAAGUCGUACGCAUUCCCGUUUUUGAUUGAAGGUGCUUGCACCUGAUUGAUAAAACAUCGGAAUGAGUGGCGGACGGGUGAGUAACACGUGGGUAACCUGCCCAGAAGUGGGGGAUAACAUUUGGAAACAGAUGCUAAUACCGCAUAAUAGAUAGAACCACAUGGUUCUAUUUUGAAAGAUGGCCUUUGUGCUAUCACUUCUGGAUGGACCCGCGGUGUAUUAGCUAGUUGGUAAGGUAACGGCUUACCAAGGAAACGAUACCUAGCCGAACUGAGAGGUUGAUCGGCCACAAUGGGACUGAGACACGGCCCAUACUCCUACGGGAGGCAGCAGUAGGGAAUCUUCCACAAUGGGCGCAAGCCUGAUGGAGCAACACCGCGUGAGUGAAGAAGGGUUUCGGCUCGUAAAACUCUGUUGUUAAAGAAGAACGUAUCUAAGAGUAACUGCUUAGGUAGUGACGGUAUUUAACCAGAAAGCCACGGCUAACUACGUGCCAGCAGCCGCCGUAA
This 540-nucleotide ribosomal RNA is filed under the name uncultured bacterium. RNAcentral's name for it is "partial 16S ribosomal RNA". It matches the Rfam family "Bacterial small subunit ribosomal RNA", at positions 28 to 523 of the family's 1533-position model. The record is from RNAcentral.